GAUCCUGGCUCAGGACGAACGCUGGCGGCGUGCCUAACACAUGCAAGUCGAACGGAAGCAAAGAUUUCGGUUUUUGCUUUAGUGGCGAACGGGUGAGUAACGCGUGAGGAACCUGCCUUUCAGUGGGGGGACAACAGUUGGAAAACGACUGCUAAUACCGCAUAAUACUUUCGAGCGGCAUCGUUUGAAAGUCAAAGAUUUAUUGCUGAAAAGAUGGCCUCGCGUCUGAUUAGCUAGUUGGUGGGGUAACGGCU
Molecule: ribosomal RNA, 254 nt
Filed under: uncultured bacterium
Lineage: Bacteria
Description: partial 16S ribosomal RNA
Rfam family: Bacterial small subunit ribosomal RNA
Source: RNAcentral